CGGGCUGUAGCGCAGUUUGGUUAGCGCGCCUGACUGGGGGUCAGGAGGUCGGAGGUUCAAAUCCUCUCAGCCCGA
RNAcentral lists this transfer RNA (75 nucleotides) under Phycisphaerales bacterium. RNAcentral describes it as "tRNA-Pro". It matches the Rfam family "tRNA". Rfam says of the family: Transfer RNA (tRNA) molecules are approximately 80 nucleotides in length. Lineage: Bacteria; Pseudomonadati; Planctomycetota; Phycisphaerae; Phycisphaerales. The record is from RNAcentral.